RNAcentral lists this ribosomal RNA (625 nucleotides) under uncultured bacterium. RNAcentral's name for it is "bacterial SSU rRNA". It matches the Rfam family "Bacterial small subunit ribosomal RNA", at positions 56 to 666 of the family's 1533-position model. The record is from RNAcentral.
UGCAAGUAGAACGCUGAAGGAGGAGCUUGCUUCUCUGGAUGAGUUGCGAACGGGUGAGUAACGCGUAGGUAACCUGCCUGGUAGCGGGGGAUAACUAUUGGAAACGAUAGCUAAUACCGCAUAAGAGUAGAUGUUGCAUGACAUUUACUUAAAAGGUGCAAUUGCAUCACUACCAGAUGGACCUGCGUUGUAUUAGCUAGUUGGUGGGGUAACGGCUCACCAAGGCGACGAUACAUAGCCGACCUGAGAGGGUGAUCGGCCACACUGGGACUGAGACACGGCCCAGACUCCUACGGGAGGCAGCAGUAGGGAAUCUUCGGCAAUGGACGGAAGUCUGACCGAGCAACGCCGCGUGAGUGAAGAAGGUUUUCGGAUCGUAAAGCUCUGUUGUAAGAGAAGAACGAGUGUGAGAGUGGAAAGUUCACACUGUGACGGUAUCUUACCAGAAAGGGACGGCUAACUACGUGCCAGCAGCCGCGGUAAUACGUAGGUCCCGAGCGUUGUCCGGAUUUAUUGGGCGUAAAGCGAGCGCAGGCGGUUAGAUAAGUCUGAAGUUAAAGGCUGUGGCUUAACCAUAGUACGCUUUGGAAACUGUUUAACUUGAGUGCAAGAGGGGAGAGUGAUC